RNAcentral lists this ribosomal RNA (253 nucleotides) under uncultured bacterium. RNAcentral describes it as "partial 16S ribosomal RNA". It matches the Rfam family "Bacterial small subunit ribosomal RNA", at positions 524 to 776 of the family's 1533-position model. The record is from RNAcentral.
UACGGAGGGUGCGAGCGUUGUCCGGAAUCACUGGGCGUAAAGCGCACGUAGGCGGACUCUUAAGUCAGGGGUGAAAUCCUGGAGCUCAACUCCAGAACUGCCUUUGAUACUGGGAGCCUUGAGUUCGAGAGAGGUGAGUGGAACUGCGAGUGUAGAGGUGAAAUGCGUAGAUAUCUGGAGGAACACCGGUGGCGAAGGCGGCAUCCUGGACCGACACUGACGCUGAGGCGCGAAAGCUAGGGGAGCAAACGGG